UCUGGCAGUGGCGGACGGGUGAGUAACGCGUAGGUAUCUAUCUUUGGGUGGGGGGACAACCGUGGGAAACUACGGCUAAUACCGCAUGACGACCGAGGUCCAAAGGCGCAAGUCGCCUGGGGAGGAGCCUGCGUCCGAUUAGCUUGUUGGUGGGGUAACGGCCUACCAAGGCGACGAUCGGUAGCUGGUCUGAGAGGAUGAUCAGCCACACUGGGACUGAGACACGGCCCAG
RNAcentral lists this ribosomal RNA (232 nucleotides) under uncultured bacterium. Its description in RNAcentral is "partial 16S ribosomal RNA". It matches the Rfam family "Bacterial small subunit ribosomal RNA", at positions 88 to 334 of the family's 1533-position model. The record is from RNAcentral.